GACUACUAUGCGGAGGACAUUAUCGAGUUUUGACGGGUUGUAGCUGGCCUCUCACGAGGCAUGUGCACGCCUGGCUCAUCCACUCUUAACCUCUGUGCACUUUAUGUAAGAGAAAAAAAUGGUGGAAGCUUCCAGGAUCUCGCGAGAGGUCUUUGGUUGAACAAGCCGUUUUUCUUUCUUAUGUUUUACUACAAACGCUUCAGUUAUAGAAUGUCAACUGUGUAUAACACAUUUAUAUACAACUUUCAGCAACGGAUCUCUUGGCUCUCGCAUCGAUGAAGAACGCAGCGAAAUGCGAUAAGUAAUGUGAAUUGCAGAAUUCAGUGAAUCAUCGAAUCUUUGAACGCACCUUGCACUCCUUGGUAUUCCGAGGAGUAUGCCUGUUUGAGUCUCAUGGUAUUCUCAACCCCUAAAUUUUUGUAAUGAAGGUUUAGCGGGCUUGGACUUGGAGGUUGUGUCGGCCCUUGUCGGUCGACUCCUCUGAAAUGCAUUAGCGUGAAUCUUACGGAUCGCCUUCAGUGUGAUAAUUAUCUGCGCUGUGGUGUUGAAGUAUUUAUGGUGUUCAUGCUUCGAACCGUCUCCUUGCCGAGACAAUCAUUUGACAAUCUGAGCUCAAAUCAGGUAGGACUACCCGCUGAACUUAAGCUAUCAAAAACGGGAAGAAAAAAGG
RNAcentral lists this ribosomal RNA (670 nucleotides) under Irpex lacteus. RNAcentral's name for it is "eukaryotic LSU rRNA". The stretch from base 241 to 394 matches the Rfam family "5.8S ribosomal RNA". The record is from RNAcentral. Lineage: Eukaryota; Fungi; Basidiomycota; Agaricomycetes; Polyporales; Irpicaceae.